GGGCUGUUAGCUCAGUUGGUAGAGCAGCGGACUUUUAAUCCGCAGCAACGGGCUCCGAUAGCAGGUUUAUUCAAUCGUUUCGCGGCAGAGCGCAGUCCGCAGCGGCCCCAUAGCGCCA
This 118-nucleotide transfer RNA is filed under the name Deltaproteobacteria bacterium. RNAcentral describes it as "tRNA-Lys". The stretch from base 1 to 55 matches the Rfam family "tRNA". Lineage: Bacteria; Pseudomonadati; Myxococcota; Myxococcia. The record is from RNAcentral.